Molecule: long non-coding RNA, 876 nt
Filed under: Homo sapiens (human)
Lineage: Eukaryota; Metazoa; Chordata; Mammalia; Primates; Hominidae
Description: HSALNT0295342
Source: RNAcentral
GCUGUUGAGCGUCUUCUCCCGGGUCCAGUGGAAGGAGGAUCCCACUGACCCUAAAACCUAGCCAGGGCGACAGGCCAUCGGAGGGCGGGUGUGGACGUUUCUGGUCUGAGAGCGGUGUUUUGAGGUUGGAAUGCAGUGUCACUUGGCUCACUGAAACCUCCGCAUCCCAGGCUCAAGUGAUUCUCCCACCUCAGCCUCCCGAGUAGCUGGGACUACAGAUGUGCUCCACCACGCCUAGGUAAUUUUUGUAUUUUUGGUAGAGAUGGGGUUUCACCAUGUUGGCCAGGCUGGUCUCAAACUCCUGCUCAAGCAGUCCGCCUACCUCGGCCUCCCAAAGUGCUGGGAUUAUAGGCACCCUUUUCCCUUUCAAUUUUUUCCCUAAGGAAUUUAGAGGCAAAUUAAGAGUUUGAAGACUGCCCCAAGUCAUAGAUCAAUAAGAAUAAAUUAACAAUUGUAAGCCAGGUGUGGUGGCUCAUGCCUGUAAUCCCAGCACUUUGGGAGGCUGAAAUGGGAAGAUCACUUGAGGCCAGGAAUUCAAGAAGAUCACCCUGGGCAUUGUAGUGAGACCCCAUCUCUCUUUAAAAAAAAAAAAAAAGGCUGGGCGCGGUGGCUCACGCCUGUAAUCCCAGCACUUUGGGAGGCUGAGGCAGGCAAAUCACGAGGUCAGGAGAUUGAGACCAUCCUGGCUAACACAGUGAAACCCCGUCUCUACUAAAAAUACAAAAAAUUAGCCGGGUGUGGUGGCAGGCGCCUAUAGUCCCAGCUACUCGGGAGGCUGAGGCAGGAGAAUGGCGUGAACCUGGGAGGUGGAGCUUGCAGUGAGCCGAGAUCUCGCCACUGCACUCCAGCCUGGGCGACAAAGUGAGACUCCAUCUC